GAGUUUGAUCAUGGCUCAGAACGAACGCUGGCGGCGUGCCUAACACAUGCAAGUCGAGGGAGAAAAGGGGCUUCGGCUCCUGAGUAAACCGGCGCACGGGUGAGUAACACGUAGGUAACGUACCCUGGAGUCCGGGAUAACCAGUCGAAAGACUGGCUAAUACCGGAUACGACUACGAGGUCUCCGGACUUUGUAGUGAAAGAUGGCCUCUAUUUAUAAGCUAUCACUCCUGGAUCGGCCUGCGCACCAUUAGCUAGUUGGUGAGGUAACGGCUCACCAAGGCUGAGAUGGUUAGCUGGUCUGAGAGGAUGGCCAGCCACACUGGGACUGAGACACGGCCCAGACUCCUACGGGAGGCAGCAGUGGGGAAUAUUGGACAAUGGGCGAAAGCCUGAUCCAGCAAUGCCGCGUGUGUGAA
RNAcentral lists this ribosomal RNA (418 nucleotides) under uncultured delta proteobacterium. Its description in RNAcentral is "bacterial SSU rRNA". It matches the Rfam family "Bacterial small subunit ribosomal RNA", at positions 9 to 409 of the family's 1533-position model. Lineage: Bacteria; Deltaproteobacteria. The record is from RNAcentral.